ACUCCUUCCCAUCCCGAACAGGACAGUGAAACGACUUUGCGCCGAUGAUAGUGCGGGUUCCCGUGUGAAAGUAGGUCAUCGUCAGGC
RNAcentral lists this ribosomal RNA (87 nucleotides) under Acidovorax sp. SCN 65-108. Lineage: Bacteria; Pseudomonadati; Pseudomonadota; Betaproteobacteria; Burkholderiales; Comamonadaceae. RNAcentral also lists the same sequence under 4 other names. The record is from RNAcentral.